Molecule: ribosomal RNA, 253 nt
Filed under: uncultured archaeon
Lineage: Archaea
Description: partial 16S ribosomal RNA
Rfam family: Archaeal small subunit ribosomal RNA
Source: RNAcentral
AACCAGCACCUCAAGUGGUCAGGAUGAUUAUUGGGCCUAAAGCAUCCGUAGCCUGUUCUGUAAGUUUUCGGUUAAAUCCAUAAGCUCAACUUAUGGGCUGCCGAAAAUACUGCAGAACUAGGGAGUGGGAGAGGUAGACGGUACUCGGUAGGAAGGGGUAAAAUCCUUUGAUCUAUUGAUGACCACCUGUGGCGAAGGCGGCUUACUGGACUAACACUGACUCUGAGGUACGAAAGCGUGGGUAGCAAACAGG